Non-coding RNA from Phrynosoma platyrhinos (Desert horned lizard), 72 nucleotides. Lineage: Eukaryota; Metazoa; Chordata; Lepidosauria; Squamata; Phrynosomatidae. The record is from the annotation of a GenBank genome assembly.
AGCAUGGUGGCAUAGUGGUUAGAACACGAGAUUAUUUCUCUGGAGACCAGGGUUUGAAUCUCUGCUCAGCCA